Molecule: ribosomal RNA, 181 nt
Filed under: uncultured bacterium
Lineage: Bacteria
Description: partial 16S ribosomal RNA
Rfam family: Bacterial small subunit ribosomal RNA
Source: RNAcentral
CAUGAAGUUGGAAUCGCUAGUAAUCGCGGAUCAGCAUGCCGCGGUGAAUACGUUCCCGGGCCUUGUACACACCGCCCGUCACACCAUGAGAGUCGGGAACACCCGAAGUCCGUAGCCUAACCGCAAGGGGGCGCGGCCGAAGGUGGGUUCGAUAAUUGGGGUGAAGUCGUAACAAGGUACC